RNAcentral lists this unclassified non-coding RNA (240 nucleotides) under uncultured Coprinopsis. RNAcentral describes it as "sequence contains ITS1". Lineage: Eukaryota; Fungi; Basidiomycota; Agaricomycetes; Agaricales; Psathyrellaceae. The record is from RNAcentral.
UUGAAUAAAUCUGGCGUGGUUGUAGCUGACUCUCAGGAGUAUGUGCACACCCGUCACCUUUAUAUUUCCACCUGUGCACACACUGUAGUCCUGGAUACCUCUCGCCGAAAGGCGGACGCGGAGGCUGCUGUGCCCGCAAGGGCCAGCUUCCUCUGAAUUUCCAGGUCUAUGAUUUUUUUAAUACACCCCAAACGAAUGUCUUAGAAUGUCUUUACAAGGCCUUGUGCCUAUAAACCUAUA